This 1031-nucleotide long non-coding RNA is filed under the name Piliocolobus tephrosceles (Ugandan red Colobus). RNAcentral's name for it is "lncRNA (ENSPTEG00000009820.1)". Lineage: Eukaryota; Metazoa; Chordata; Mammalia; Primates; Cercopithecidae. The record is from RNAcentral.
CCAUGACUGGGUCUGAAUAGAAUGAAUGUUUGGAAAGCAGACUUCAUUCUCUUUACAUUUUCAUGUGUUUGGGACUUUAUAUAGUGGACUAUUGUGUUCAUUUUGUGACACAUAGAGAAGAGAUAUUCUAGGGAUGGUUUUUUUUUUGGGAAACAUAAUAGUAGUCCUGUUUAUGGCUCUCCUUGAAAAUUGGUUCAUCUGUGUUGGUGACCGGUAUUUGCUACCCGAGCUUGUCUGGUGAGCAAAAGAAAAGCAAGUUUAAAAAAUCUGCUAUUAAAAUCGAGAUGAUACAUUUUCACAUAAUAAUAUGUGGAGUUAAGUAAUGAACCAUCUUUAUUAAUUAAUUAAUUUAUUUUUGAGAUGGAAUAUUUUCUCUAUUCCUCGGGCUGGAAUGCAAUGGCGUGAUCUCAGCUCACUGCAACCUCCACCUCCUGGGUUCAAGUGAUUCUCCUGCCUCAGCCUCCUGAGUAGCUGGGAUAACAGGUGCCCGCCACCAUGUCUGGCUAAUUUUUGUGUUUUUAGUAGAGACAAGCUGUCUCCAUGUUGGCCAGAAAUGUGAUUGAUAACAGUAAAGCUGCACUCCUCACGUGCCUGAAAUACCUCUCAUUGUCUUCUUCAGUUGACAAGGGCUCUGGAACAGCCACAUAAAGGUGAGGGCAAUAUUUUUUUUCAUUGAUUGAUUGGUUGAUUGAUUUUUUUCUCUUAGAGGGGUUAGCAUCCAUGUAUCUGAAAUUGAAAUUCAAGAGGAGAGACAGACACCUGUACUAGUUUUCUCUUGCUGCCAAUUAUCACAUUACCACAAACCAGUGGUUUGAAAGCACAGAAGUCUGGAAUGAAGUGGCUGGGUUCUCUGAUCAGAGUCAUGUGAGGCUAAAAUCCAGGAAUGGGCUGGCUGUGUUUUUUUCUAGAGCUCAAGCUAUUUUUUGAAGUUCAAUACAGAUAUUGAAAGAGUUCCUAUUCUUGUUUGUGGGGGACUGAGGGCCCUUUGUCUUUGCUGACUGUCGACCAGGAGACACUCUGACUCCAGAGGC